CAAUCAGCGGAAGGUCUGAAGUAUCGCGCUGAGCCGAACGUGGUACCGAUAGUGCCGGCCAGUGCGUUUGGCAACGAAUUAGAGACGACACGGAGCGCCCCAAAAUCACCCCUGCUAGAGAUAGUGCUUCGCAUUCUGGACAGCAUACAGAUUGUGCCGAAGAAGCGGUCAAGGCGACGGGCGCGAUCGUACAGACCUGCUUCCGGGGACGCGCUACGUCUAUCUGCUACGGCUACCGCCGUUUUUCGGCAGUUCAAUUUUCGGAGGGCGGGUGGAGAAACCACUAAUGGCACUAUCGCUAGAAUCUAGCGAGACGGCAGCAGCGCCGGCUUCCGACCAGCUUGAUGACGAUGAUUACGAUUAUGCUGAUGUCGAUGAUGGUGAUGAUGUCGAUGAUGGUGAUGAUGAUCGAAGGGAAGGGUUUUUCCCACUGACCAGCUAUCAGCUGAGGCAGCUAACCAGCUCCAGGCGGUUUUACGAUAUGGUGCUGGGCGUGCUGGGCGUGAUGGAGACCGAAGCGCGCCACCAGGUGCAACGUGCCCGGGACCGUAAGCAGGAAAUCGUGCGAUCAGCAAACGGUGGGGACGAUCGGCCGACGUCCGAAGAGCAGCCGGCGUAAUGUGUUGUCAAUUUUGUGCUGAUGAAAGGAAAACUAUACACUACCGAACUAACGAUAGGGAAUAAGUAAGGGAGAGAAGGAAAGCGAGAGAGACAGGGAGAGAGAGAGAUAAAGAGAGAGAAACAAACGAACAAUAUGAUCCACCAAACUGGAUCGGAGGGCAAACCGCGUGAACCCGGGCACGAGCCGCGCUGCAGUUGACAUUGAAUUCCAAUUGAAAUAAACUUGUACCUUAUUGACAAAAGGCCGUGACGGUGGUGAUGGAGGGCCAACGUGAAAGAUGCAAUGCAAUGAUCGCUGAUGUGUGGAAUGAACAUUUUGAACGGCUACAUGAGAACUAAAUAGCUCCAACCGCUCUAAUAGAAAGCCAUGCGCAAAGUUUUAAAAGGCUUGCAUGUGCGCACCCUUUACAACUUCAUUUGCGCCUGAUAAUGGAUGCCAAAAGCCUCAUUUCUGUGUAGAAUUCCUCCAGCAAUCGUAAUUCUGCUAAAUUCGACUGACGUCGCACGCUAUCAUCAAUCGGAAGUUGCACGAACUCCGACGAUCGGCCCGUUGUUUACGGGCCGUCGCUCCUAUCGCGCUGUCGAACUUCGGCGCACGACUUCGGUAGGUAGGUGAUACAGGGCAGGCGGCAGGCCCUGAUAAGGUAGCAAGACAAAAAAAGGGAUUUGAACUAAAUUGUGGGAAGCAUACGCACACACACACGCACCCAACAACCCCCGAACGAGCGUAACGAUCGUAGAGCAGUCGCUGGUCGGUACAUGAAUGUGCUAACGCGAUCGCGUCUCCUCCGCCGCAAACAUCAGCGAUCGCCACCGCCACACAUGAGCCAUCCGGCUAGCGUACAUAAAAUAUCAGUUCAAGUGCGACGACUUUGAACAUUCGUGAUUACAAGCUCGCCCGUGUCGGAUCGCAAGUGAUCGCUGCUAGAAGUCGGAAGAACGAAGUUCCUAGUUUCUGUUUAAAGUUUCUUUUUUGUGUGUGUGAAUUUUGUGUGGAAAUAGCUUAACGCCAUGGCCAAGCUGGGACUGCUGUUUAUCGUCAUCUUCUGCAUCGUUCAGAUCACCCUUGCCGCCCGUCUACGGCGCGAUGUCGUCGAGGAGGGUGUACAAACGCUGAAGAAAACAAUCUCCGACACAUUCACAAAGGAAAACGUUGAUACCUUCUUUGACAAGCUUUCGCAGUUCGGUGAGAUGUUCAAGGAAAAGGCGGGCGAGCUAGGCGACACCAUCAAAUCGAAGGUGAAUGAGGCGACAAGCUAAACGGUCGGAUCGCUAAGCUGCUUCGAGGUUACCAUCACAGCGCUAAAAAAACUCAACAAACCGAAACAAAAUAAAAUAAAAUAAAACCCUCGUUUUGCUCGUCCCAGUAUACAGAUAUGUAAACUUCAAUGCAGAACAAAUAUAACAAGUGAUUCAACUUA
Molecule: RNA transcript, 2042 nt
Organism: Anopheles arabiensis
Lineage: Eukaryota; Metazoa; Arthropoda; Insecta; Diptera; Culicidae
Exons: 5
Source: RefSeq, a predicted model, not a curated record